Molecule: ribosomal RNA, 253 nt
Filed under: uncultured bacterium
Lineage: Bacteria
Description: partial 16S ribosomal RNA
Rfam family: Bacterial small subunit ribosomal RNA
Source: RNAcentral
UACGUAGGGUGCGAGCGUUGUCCGGAAUUAUUGGGCGUAAAGGGCUCGUAGGCGGUUUGUCGCGUCGGGAGUGAAAACCCAGGGCUUAACCCUGGGCUGGCUUCCGAUACGGGCAGACUAGAGGUAUGCAGGGGAGAACGGAAUUCCUGGUGUAGCGGUGAAAUGCGCAGAUAUCAGGAGGAACACCAAUGGCGAAGGCAGCGCGCUGGGACGGUACUGACGCUGAGACGCGAAAGCGUGGGGAGCAAACAGG